RNAcentral lists this long non-coding RNA (896 nucleotides) under Pan troglodytes (chimpanzee). RNAcentral describes it as "long non-coding RNA NONPTRT010598". The record is from RNAcentral. Lineage: Eukaryota; Metazoa; Chordata; Mammalia; Primates; Hominidae.
GAUGACUUCGAAGAGGCUGAGGGCCGGUACUUCAGGCUCAGCCAGCAGUCACACUGCCCAGAUUUCUUUCUUUUCCUCUGCCGCCUGCUCAGCCCGCUGCUCAAGGCCUUUGCACAGGCUGCCGCCUUCCUCCGCCAGGGCCAGCUGCCCGAUACUGGUGAGGCCCUUGUUCCCUUGCAGUCCUCGAGGCAGGCUGUGUCUGUGCUGGGUGCCAGGUCUAGGUCUUCUCUCUUCUGCAGAGUUGGGCUACACAGAGCAGCUGUUCCAGUUCCUGCAGGCCACCGCCCAGGAAGAAGGGAUCUUCGGUGAGUCCCAACCAGUCAGCCCAGGCUUCUGCAGGCAGUGGUGUUUGCUGGUGGCUGCUGCCCCCUGCAGGACAGUGACAACCCAACUCUAGGAAGGCAGGCUGCAGAGUACAGACAGUCUUCUGUCCAGUCAGAGCUCUAUCCCUCCCUGGGCUUCUUUAAACAAGAGGAGAGAAGCCUGUGCCCAGUGGCUCUCUGUCCUCCCUACCUAGAGCCUUCACUUCUCUCUUCUUUCCAGAGUGUGCGGACCCAAAGCUCGCCAUCAGUGCUGUCUGGACCUUCAGAGACCUAGGGGUUCUGCAGCAGACGCCGAGCCCUGCAGGCCCCAGGCUCCACCUGUCCCCUACUUUUGCCAGCCAGGACAAUCAGGAAAAACUAGAACAGUUCAUCCGGCAGUUCAUUUGUAGCUAGAACUGUGAGGAGGAGCCUGUGCUGAGACUUCUCAGCCCCAGAACACAGCUGUGUCCUAGAGCCAGAAGAUGGAGAGGAGGCUGCAAACCCUUAGCUGCUCUAUAAAUAUAAUCAUUGAGGCUUGAUUGUCCCUUGCCAUCUCUUGCUUUUUCCCUUCUUUGAUGUGAUAAACAAGGGGAC